GAGGAAUAUUGGUCAAUGGGCGCAAGCCUGAACCAGCCAUCCCGCGUGCAGGAAGACGGCGCUAUGCGUUGUAAACUGCUUUUCCAGGGAGAGAAACUUGCGCACGUGUUGCGCAGUCGACGGUACCCUGGGCAUAAGCACCGGCUAACUCCGUGCCAGCAGCCGCGGUAAUACGGAGGAUGCGAGCGUUAUCCGGAUCCAUUGGGUUUAAAGGGUGCGUAGGCGGACUGUUAAGUCAGUGGUGAAAUCCUGCAGCUUAACUGCAGAACUGCCAUUGAUACUGAUAGCCUUGAGUUCGGUUAAGGUAGGAAGAAUGUGUAAUGUAGCGGUGAGAUGCUUAGA
Molecule: ribosomal RNA, 342 nt
Filed under: uncultured bacterium
Lineage: Bacteria
Description: bacterial SSU rRNA
Rfam family: Bacterial small subunit ribosomal RNA
Source: RNAcentral